RNAcentral lists this transfer RNA (73 nucleotides) under Actinoplanes xinjiangensis. RNAcentral's name for it is "tRNA-Gln". It matches the Rfam family "tRNA". Rfam says of the family: Transfer RNA (tRNA) molecules are approximately 80 nucleotides in length. Their secondary structure includes four short double-helical elements and three loops (D, anti-codon, and T loops). The record is from RNAcentral. Lineage: Bacteria; Bacillati; Actinomycetota; Actinomycetes; Micromonosporales; Micromonosporaceae.
UCUCUCGUCGUCCAACUGGCAGCGACACCCGGCUCUGGACCGGGAGAUCCAGGUUCGAAUCCUGGCGAGAGAG